GUGGGGAAUAUUGCACAAUGGGCGAAAGCCUGAUGCAGCAACGCCGCGUGAAGGAAGAAGGCCCUUGGGUCGUAAACUUCUGUUCUAAGGGAAGAUAAUGACGGUACCUUAGGAGCAAGUCCCGGCUAACUACGUGCCAGCAGCCGCGGUAAUACGUAGGGGGCGAGCGUUAUCCGGAAUUUUUGGGCGUAAAGAGUACGGAGGUGGUUAUCUAAGCGAGGGGUUUAAGGCAAUAGCUCAACUAUUGUUUGCCCCGCGAACUGGGUGACUUGAGUGCUGGAGAUGAAAGCGGAAUUCCUAGUGUAGCGGUGAAAUGCGUAGAUAUUAGGAGGAACAUCAGUGGCGAAGGCGGCUUUCUGGACAGUAACUGACACUGAGGUACGAAAGUGUGGGGAGCAAACAGGAUUAGAAACCCGGGUAGUCC
RNAcentral lists this ribosomal RNA (424 nucleotides) under uncultured bacterium. RNAcentral describes it as "partial 16S ribosomal RNA". It matches the Rfam family "Bacterial small subunit ribosomal RNA", at positions 354 to 796 of the family's 1533-position model. The record is from RNAcentral.